UAAAUUACAAGCCAUGGAGGUGGAGGAGUAGUAAAGCAUGUGAUAGAGCUCUAGAGUAUAAAAUAGGUGAAAAAAUCCAUGGAUUCACUAUAAAUCAGGUAACACCUCUCCCUGAGCUAUUCUUAACUGCUGUGAAACUCAAUCAUGACAGCACAGGUGCUCAAUAUUUACAUGUGGCAAGAGAAGAUACAAAUAAUUUAUUUAGUGUCCAGUUCCGUACUACCCCAAUGGAUAGUACUGGUGUUCCACAUAUUCUUGAACAUACUGUACUUUGUGGUUCUAUGAAGUAUCCCUGCAGAGAUCCUUUUUUCAAAAUGCUAAACAGAUCAUUAGCCACUUUUAUGAAUGCAUUUACAGCUAGUGAUUACACAUUAUAUCCAUUUUCAACACAAAAUUCCAAGGAUUUUCAGAAUCUUCUCUCAGUAUAUUUGGAUGCAGUCUUCUUUCCAUGUUUGAGGGAAUUGGACUUCUGGCAAGAAGGUUGGAGACUAGAACAUGAAAAUCCAACUGACCCCCAGUCACCCCUGGUCUUUAAAGGAGUCGUUUUUAAUGAAAUGAAAGGAGCAUUUACAGACAAUGAGAGGAUAUUCUCGCAGUAUCUUCAAAACCGACUCCUUCCUGAUCAUACUUACUCAGUUAUAUCUGGUGGUGAUCCACUAAACAUCCCUGAUCUUUCAUGGGAACAACUUAAACAAUUCCAUGCUACUCAUUACCAUCCAAGUAAUGCUAGAUUCUUUACUUAUGGCAAUCUUCCAUUGGAACAGCAUUUGAAGCAAAUUCAUGAAGAAGCACUAAGUAAAUUUCAGAGAAUUGAGCCUAGUACUUCAGUGCCAGCCCAGAAGCUUUGGGAUACACCUAGAGAAUACCAUGUGACAUGUGGUCCAGAUACAUUUGCAACAGACUCAACUAAACAAACAACCAUCAGUGUCAGUUUCCUUUUGCCAGAUAUUACAGAUACAUUUGAAGCCUUUACUCUGAAUCUUUUGUCUUCACUACUCAUUGGUGGACCUAAUUCUCCAUUUUAUAAAGCCUUAAUUGAAUCGGGUCUUGGCACAGAUUUUUCUCCUGAAGUUGGAUAUAAUGGCUAUACGAGAGAAGCAUACUUCAGUGUGGGCCUGCAGGGGAUUGAUGAUAAACAUAUAGAAACGGUCAAACACAUUAUUACUAGAACAAUUGAUGAAGUUAUUGAGAAAGGAUUUGAAGAUGAUCGAGUUGAAGCCUUAUUACAUAAAAUUGAAAUACAAAUGAAGCACCAGUCUACCAGUUUUGGACUUGCUCUAACAUCAUAUAUAGCUUCCUGCUGGAAUCAUGAAGGAGAUCCAACUGAACUUUUAAAUCUAGGAAAACAAGUGACUCAAUUCAGGAAGUGCCUUACAGAAAAUCCAAAUUUUCUGCAAGAAAAAGUUAAGCAAUAUUUUAAGAAUAACCAACACAGGUUGACUUUAUCUAUGAGUCCAGAUGAAAAGUAUUAUGAGAAGCAAGCACAAAUGGAAACUGAAAAACUGAAACAAAAAGUUGAUUCUCUUACUAUGAAAGACAGGCAACACAUAUAUGAAAAAGGUUUAGAGUUACGGACUUUGCAAAGUAAACCACAAGAUGCUUCCUGUCUACCAGCAUUAAAAGUGUCUGACAUUGAGCGUACUAUAUCCUUUACUGAGGUGGAUACAGCAUUGGCAGCUGGUGAAAUCCCUGUCCAGUAUUGUGCUCAGCCAACCAACGGCGUGGUCUAUUUCAGAGCCUUUUCUAGUCUGAACACACUUCCUGAGGAACUCCGGCCAUAUGUGCCUCUCUUCUGCAGUGUGCUCACCAAGAUGGGUUGUGGCACUUAUGACUACAGAGAACAAGCUCAGCAAAUAGAACUAAAAACAGGAGGAAUGUCAGUCUCUCCACAUGUAAUUCCAGAUGAUUCACAUUUGGAUAUGUAUGAACAGGGUGUGCUUUUUUCAUCUUUAUGCUUGGAUCGAAAUCUAUCAGACAUGAUGCAUUUAUGGAGUGAAAUAUUUAACAACCCUCACUUUGAAGACGAGGAGCACUUUAAGGUGUUAGUUAAAAUGACUGCUCAGGAACUUUCAAAUGGAAUUCCUGAUUCUGGUCAUUUAUAUGCAUCUAUUAGAGCUAGUAGAACACUUACUCCUGCCGGAGACUUACAAGAAACCUUUAAUGGCAUGGAUCAGGUAAGACUAAUGAAGCGAAUUGCAGAAAUGUCAGACAUUAAGCCAAUCCUGAGAAAACUUCCACGUAUCAAGAAACAUUUAUUAAAUUGUGAUAAUAUGAGAUGUUCAGUGAAUGCUGCCCCUCAGCAGAUGUCUCAAGCAGGAAAAGAAAUUGAAAAUUUCAUAAAAAGCCUUGGUCGAAGUAAAAAGGAAAGAAAAUCUGUCCGUCCCCAUGUAAUUGAGAAACCUGAUUCCAAACCAGUUGGUGGUGAUUUCAUCAACUGUCCCCAAAUUAUAAGAAAGCUAAUUACUGACCCUACUUUCAAACCAUGUCAGAUGAAGACUCAUUUCCUACUUCCUUUCCCUGUGAAUUAUGUAGGUGAAUGUGUUAGGACUGUUCCUUACACAGAUCCAGAUCAUGCCAGUCUUAGGAUCCUUGCACGAUUGAUGACUGCUAAGUUCUUGCAUACAGAAAUUAGAGAGAAAGGUGGUGCAUAUGGUGGAGGUGCUAAACUCAGCAGUAAUGGGAUAUUCACCUUUUACUCCUAUAGGGAUCCAAAUUCAAUAGAAACUCUCCAGUGUUUUGAAAAAGCAGUCAAUUGGGCCAAAUCUGGAAGCUUCACAUUAGAAGAUAUUGAUGAAGCAAAGCUUUCAGUUUUUUCAGUUGCAGAUGCUCCAGUUGCACCUUCAGACAAAGGAAUGGACCAGUUUUUAUAUGGGCUUUCAGAUGAGAUGAAGCAGGCACACAGAGAACAACUCUUUGCUGUUAGUCAUGAACAACUUGUUAAUGUUAGCAAUAAGUACCUUGGAAUUGGACAGAGCACACGAGGAUUAGCAAUACUUGGACCAGAUAAUGUGAAUAUUGAUAAAGACCCAUCAUGGACUCCUGAAGCAUAAAUAGCCUGAUUAUCAGAGAAAAAGUACUAAUUCGAGCUUUAGUUUCUGAGUUGGGUGAAGUAAAUUAUCAAUACCAAACAAUAGACCUAUCAGCAUCACUGCAAAAGAGGCCAAGAAGAAUGGAAUGAAAUUGGCUCAGCCCCAGACAUUCAGACAUACAGCCAUGCAAAAAGUUAGCCACGUUUCCAACUCCAUCAUGUCAAAAUGUAAGUGAUUUAAAACAUUAUAAUGCAAAAUGAUUAUUUUUAUUACACCAAGUUUAAGUUUUUGCAUAAAACCAAUGCUGCCAAGAUUAGAAAGAAUGCAGAAAAUGAGAGGAGGGCAUUUUAUAGAAGUUCCUUUCAGAAAAAUCUCAUUUCUCAAAUAUAUAAAGAACUGAUUUAAAUUUAGAAGUAUAUACCACAGACUUAUUAGAUUGGCUAAUAUAACAGAAAAGGAAAAUGACAAAUAUUGGAGGGGAUAUGG
Gracilinanus agilis (Agile Gracile Mouse Opossum) is the source of this 3515-nucleotide RNA transcript. It is a transcript of the gene named pitrilysin metallopeptidase 1, with no coding region annotated. NCBI's taxonomy places the organism in Eukaryota, Metazoa, Chordata, Mammalia, Didelphimorphia, Didelphidae. The record is from RefSeq and is a predicted model, not a curated record. The transcript has 28 exons.